CCUACGGGCGGCAGCAGUGGGGAAUAUUGCACAAUGGGGGAAACCCUGAUGCAGCGACGCCGCGUGAGUGAAGAAGGAUUUCGGUACGUAAAGCUCUAGCAGCAGGGAAGAAAAUGACGGUACCUGACUAAUAAGCCCCGGCUAACUACGUGCCAGCAGCCGCGGUAAUACGUAGGGGGCAAGCGUUAUCCGGAUUUACUGGGUGUAAAGGGAGCGUAGACGGCAGCGCAAGUCUGGAGUGAAAUCCCAGGGCUUAACCAUGGAACUGCUUUGGAAACUGUGCAGCUAGAGGGCAGGAGAGGUAAGCGGAAGUCCUAGUGUAGCGGUGAAAUGCGUAGAUAUUAGGAGGAACACCAGUGGCGAAGGCGGCUUACUGGACUGUAACUGACGUUGAGGCGCGAAAGCGUGGGGAGCAAACAGGAUUAGAUACCCUUGUAGUC
Molecule: ribosomal RNA, 440 nt
Filed under: uncultured bacterium
Lineage: Bacteria
Description: partial 16S ribosomal RNA
Rfam family: Bacterial small subunit ribosomal RNA
Source: RNAcentral